UCUUGGUUGUCUUUUCUUGUUAAAUGUUUUCCUUGACAAUCUCAUCCACAUCCAGGUUCCAUGCCCAUUUAUAUUCUAAGCUCCAUCACCGUCUGCACUGGCAGUUCAACUUCAACGGCCCCUGAAAGUCUGCUCCUCCUUUCAUAGAUCCUGAGUAAAUGGCACACUAUUAAUUCAAUGGCUCAAUCCAGAAAUUUCAUCUUAUAGUCAAUCAAUCACCAAUUCCUGUCAAUUCGAUUCCUGCAAUCUCUUACAUCUGUCCACUUCUAUGAUUCUGUAGAAUGUAGAUCCACGAUGUACGAAGUGUAGUCCCUGGACUAGCAGCAUCAGUAUUUGCAUCAGCAUCUACUAGAAACUUGUUAAAAAUGCAAAUUCUCCAGUGCCAUCCCAGACCUACUAAUUAAGAAACUCUAGGAGUGGGCCCAGCAGUCUGUUUUAGCAAGCUCUCCAGGUGAUUCUAAUGCCUGCUAGAGUUUAAGAACCACUGGUAUAGCUUAGAUUAUUACCUUACAGAAGCACAAGUUAAAGGGAAGACCUGGCCUCAUAUAAUCAGCAGAAUGACCUUAGAGCCUGGACAUUCAGAAGGCACAGAAUACAGGCGAUAAGCCUAUAACUACAUUACAAGAAGAAAAAGGACCUGAGAAAGAAAAACAAAGGGAAGAAGGGAGACAUAGAACUUGAAUGAGUAGGAGGAACUGGAAAACUCCAGGGUUCCAUUUGCAGCUGUGGCUACAAUCCUCCAUGAUUUGAUGGGUGAGGACUGUGCUAGGUGAAGGGAAACAGAAAUGAAGAGAACAGUCUCUCCAUCCGCAAAGAAUUCACAGUAUUAGAGUGGAAAAAGAAAAAAAUGGCUCCCUUGAGAAUUUACAAUAGACCUAAUAUUUUAAGUCAAAGGAGGCUGGGCGCAGUGUCUCAUUCCUGUAACCACAGCACUUUGGGAGGCCAAGACAGGAGAAUCAUUUGAGCCUAGAGGAGUUCUGGACCAGCCUGGGCAACAGGGCAGAACAAUGUCUCUACAAAAAAUAAAAAAAUUAGCUGGGCUUAGUGGUGUGUGCCUGUGGUACCAGCUGCUUGGGAGGCUGAGGUGGGAGGAUGGCUUGAGUCCAGGAGGUUGAGGUCACAGUAAGCCAUCAUGUCGUCACUGCACUCCAGCCUGGGUGACAGAGUGAGACCCUGACUCAAAAGAAAAAAGGAUCAAAAGAGAGAGGU
This 1209-nucleotide long non-coding RNA is filed under the name Homo sapiens (human). RNAcentral's name for it is "HSALNT0118547". Lineage: Eukaryota; Metazoa; Chordata; Mammalia; Primates; Hominidae. The record is from RNAcentral.